Molecule: transfer RNA, 88 nt
Filed under: Desulfobulbaceae bacterium
Lineage: Bacteria; Pseudomonadati; Thermodesulfobacteriota; Desulfobulbia; Desulfobulbales; Desulfobulbaceae
Description: tRNA-Leu
Rfam family: tRNA
About the family: Transfer RNA (tRNA) molecules are approximately 80 nucleotides in length. Their secondary structure includes four short double-helical elements and three loops (D, anti-codon, and T loops).
Source: RNAcentral
GCCCGAAUGGCGGAACUGGUAGACGCAAGGGACUUAAAAUCCCUCGGAGUUCAUCUCUAUGCGAGUUCAAUUCUCGCUUCGGGCACCA